CCUACGGGUGGCUGCAGUGGGGAAUAUUGGACAAUGGGCGAAAGCCUGAUCCAGCCAUGCCGCGUGUGUGAAGAAGGCCUUCGGGUUGUAAAGCACUUUCAGUGGGGAAGAAAGCCUUGGGGCUAAUACCCUCGAGGAAGGACAUCACCCACAGAAGAAGCACCGGCUAACUCCGUGCCAGCAGCCGCGGUAAUACGGAGGGUACGAGCGUUAAUCGGAAUUACUGGGCGUAAAGCGCGCGUAGGCGGUCUGAUAAGCCGGUUGUGAAAGCCCCGGGCUCAACCUGGGAACGGCAUCCGGAACUGUCAGGCUAGAGUGCAGGAGAGGAAGGUAGAAUUCCCGGUGUAGCGGUGAAAUGCGUAGAGAUCGGGAGGAAUACCAGUGGCGAAGGCGGCCUUCUGGACUGACACUGACGCUGAGGUGCGAAAGCGUGGGUAGCAAACAGGAUUAGAUACCCGGGUAGUC
This 465-nucleotide ribosomal RNA is filed under the name Vreelandella stevensii. Its description in RNAcentral is "partial 16S ribosomal RNA". It matches the Rfam family "Bacterial small subunit ribosomal RNA", at positions 338 to 795 of the family's 1533-position model. Lineage: Bacteria; Pseudomonadati; Pseudomonadota; Gammaproteobacteria; Oceanospirillales; Halomonadaceae. The record is from RNAcentral.